GCAAGUCGAACGCGAACGGUUUCUUCGGAAGCUUAGUAGAGUGGCGCACGGGUGAGUAACGCGUAAGUAAUCUACCCUGAUAUCUGGGAUAACAAUUCGAAAGGAUUGCUAAUACCGGAUACGUUGAUUUAUCAAGAAAGAUGGCCUCUAUUUAUAAGCUAUUGUAUCAGGAGGAGCUUGCGUACCAUUAGCUAGUUGGUGGGGUAAUGGCCUACCAAGCCUACGAUCUAUAGCUGGUUUGAGAGGAUGAUC
This 252-nucleotide ribosomal RNA is filed under the name uncultured bacterium. Its description in RNAcentral is "partial 16S ribosomal RNA". It matches the Rfam family "Bacterial small subunit ribosomal RNA", at positions 57 to 305 of the family's 1533-position model. The record is from RNAcentral.